UGCGUAGGUGGCCUUUUAAGUUGGAUGUGAAAUACCCGGGCUUAACUUGGGGGUGCAUCUAAUACUGGAGGGCUAGAGUGCAGGAGAGGAAAGCGGAAUUCCUAGUGUAGCGGUGAAAUGCGUAGAUAUUAGGAGGAACACCAGUGGCGAAGGCGGCUUUCUGGACUGUAACUGACACUGAGGCACGAAAGCGUGGGGAGCAAACAG
RNAcentral lists this ribosomal RNA (207 nucleotides) under uncultured bacterium. Its description in RNAcentral is "partial 16S ribosomal RNA". It matches the Rfam family "Bacterial small subunit ribosomal RNA", at positions 568 to 775 of the family's 1533-position model. The record is from RNAcentral.